This is a long non-coding RNA of Alligator mississippiensis (American alligator), 793 nucleotides long. RefSeq lists it as uncharacterized. The transcript is spliced from 5 exons. NCBI's taxonomy places the organism in Eukaryota, Metazoa, Chordata, Crocodylia, Alligatoridae. The record is from RefSeq and is a predicted model, not a curated record.
GGCAUGGGAGGUUAGUUGAGAGGGGAGUAGGGUUGAGGUUUAACUGAGGGACAACAAGUUGGUUGGGAGGCUAGAAACCAAGAAAAUCUGCUCUUUAUCUAAGCUGUCCUAUGAAUAGAUUUCCUAAUGGUAGCCGUUUCCCAUUGACUCGAGCCACAGGACAGUGUGGACACCUGACAAAUAGGUUUCUCAAUUUCUUCUGGCAUAAUUGCACUUUGCGAAGAAGCAUAGAAAACUACAAAUAGAGUGGUGGAAAACGCCUGUAUCAAAAAAAGGGACUGCAGUUAAAAGCUAGGGCUAGGACUUGGAGGAUGUGUAGGCAAUCGGAAGGAGAGCCGGGGGAAGAAAAACCGAAAUGGAUUCAUUCUCUGUCCUGGAUGGAGGAGGAGAAGAGAGGAGAGGAGAGGAGAAGGGGACGAGCAAGCUUCCUCCGACGGGCGCUGUCCGGUGCAAAGUGAUCACCCCCGCGGGGCUGAGCGCAGCCCGGGAGCCCAGGCGGACUUUCGCUGGAUCCUGCCAAUCACACCGCUUUUCCUCGACAACACCCCGAGCUGGCAUGGACAUAGUCCAAAGGAUAUCCCGGCGUUGAAGAAACCUCUUCAGCUUUACACCCAGUGCCUUAUCACCAUCAGAAGUGGAAGAAGAACCUUAAAUGAAUGCAUAACAGCGGUUAAGCAACAAUUUGAAUAUUCAUAUUUUACUCUUCAAACAACAGCAACAAAAGAUACUUCAAAACCAUGUGCGAGACAAAACAACAUUAAACUUGCAAUCAUUAAACCUCUGUUUAACCCUA